GACGAACGCUGGCGGCGUGCUUAACACAUGCAAGUCGAGCGAGGCCCAUCCUUCGGGGUGGUGCCCUAGCGGCGAACGGGUGAGUAACACGUGGGCAACCUGCCCUAAGCUCUGGGAUAACUCCAAGAAAUUGGUGCUAAUACCGGAUGUGACCGCUGACCGCAUGGUCUGGUGGUGGAAAGAUUCAUCGGCUGAGGAUGGGCCCGCGGCCUAUCAGCUUGUUGGUGGGGUAAUGGCCCACCAAGGCGACGACGGGGAGCCGGCCUGAGAGGGUGACCGGCCACACUGGGACUGAGACACGGCCCAGACUCCUACGGGAGGCAGCAGUGGGGAAUAUUGCGCAAUGGGCUAAAGCCUGACGCAGCGACGCCGCGUGAGGGAUGACGGCCUUCGGGUUGUAAACCUCUUUCAGUAGGGACGAAGCGAAAGUGACGGUACCUACAGAAGAAGCACCGGCCAACUACGUG
Molecule: ribosomal RNA, 467 nt
Filed under: uncultured bacterium
Lineage: Bacteria
Description: partial 16S ribosomal RNA
Rfam family: Bacterial small subunit ribosomal RNA
Source: RNAcentral